GGUUGGUCCGAAGGUAGGGAGUUAUUGCAACUGAUUUUUCACAGUUAGUUGCAGAUUUAAUUCCUUGUUCUACUUUUUUCUGCCUUCUCACUACUACACUUGAUUAGUUUUUA
Molecule: unclassified non-coding RNA, 113 nt
Organism: Carlito syrichta (Philippine tarsier)
Lineage: Eukaryota; Metazoa; Chordata; Mammalia; Primates; Tarsiidae
Rfam family: Y RNA
About the family: Y RNAs are components of the Ro ribonucleoprotein particle (Ro RNP), in association with Ro60 and La proteins. The Y RNAs and Ro60 and La proteins are well conserved, but the function of the Ro RNP is not known.
Source: Ensembl